RNA transcript from Helianthus annuus (common sunflower), 1921 nucleotides. It is a transcript of the gene named cytochrome P450 CYP82D47, with no coding region annotated. Lineage: Eukaryota; Viridiplantae; Streptophyta; Magnoliopsida; Asterales; Asteraceae. The record is from RefSeq and is a predicted model, not a curated record. The transcript has 3 exons.
AACAUUAUCAGCAUCUGUGCAAUCCAUAGAUUGAUAUCCACGUAGUCACGAGUCCUUAUUACGUAGAAAGUGAAAUAAACUCAAUGCCUACAAGUAUAUGGCACAAUUAGUCAAUUAAGCAGCUCUCUACAAUCUUUCGGGACAAACAAACCAAUAGUUGUCUCAUGGAUCUUUCACAUAUGCAAGAGAAUUACACAGUCGUUCUUGGAACUUUUGCCUUGAUUGUAGUCCUCUACUACAUAUCAUUUUUCUACAAAACCACUGCUACUCCUCCUAAAGCAGGUGGUGCAUGGCCUAUAAUAGGCCACUUCAAAGUUUUUAAUGGUCCUGAUCUUCCCCAUGUAACCUUGUCCUCCAUGGCUGACCGAUAUGGACCCAUCUUCACUGUACGGCUUGGCAUUCGUAACAUCUUGGUGGUGAGUAAUUGGGAAAUAGUUAAGGAUAUCUUUACCACUCAUGAUGUGAUUGUUUCAGACCGUCCGAGUUACAUAGCCACAAAGAUUUUGGGAAAAAACGGUGCUUCUUUUUCAUUCACACCUUAUGGUCCGUAUUGGCGUGGAAUGCGUAAAAUCAUCUCCCAAGAGUUGUUGUCUAAUAGUCGGCUCAACAAGCUUAAGCAUGUUCAAGUGUUUGAACUAGAAAACUCAAUUAAAAACAUGCAUGAGCUUUGGAGGGAGAAGAAAGAUGAGCAAGGGAAAGUGUUGGUGGAAAUGAAGAAAUGGUUUGGGGAAUUAAAUAUGAAUAUAAUUCUUAAAAUGGUAGCCGGAAAAAGGUACACCAGAGGCGAGAGCGAAGAUCAAGAGGAGAUGAUGAGUUGUCGUGAAGUGAUAAGGGAGUGGCUUCACUACCUGGGGUUGUUUUUGCUGGCUGAUGCUCUUCCUUUUCUAGGUUGGUUGGAUUUCAGUGGUUAUAAAAAGAAAAAGAAAAUGAAACGAGUUACAAGGGAACUUGAUUCCAUGCUAGGAAAAUUGCUAGAAGAGCAUCGUCGAAAAAGAUCUUACGGAAAGGCUGCAGAGGUAAAAGACUUCAUGGAUGUGAUGACCAAGAUUGUAGAAGACGACGAUAUAGCGGGUUUCAAUGCUGAUACCAUCAUUAAAGCCACUUGUGAGACAUGAUUUUGAGGUUAGUGUGGGGUUCAUAAGCCAACUUGCCAUAGAUGCGACCUUUUUAACAUCCUUAGUCUCUUAUCGCGGGUAGUGCGGAUACAACCACUACGAUGCUAACAUGGACACUUUCAUUACUACUAAACAAUAGCUACGCUCUCAGAAAGGCACAAGAAGAACUUGAUACACAAGUGGGAAAAAAUAGACAAGUAAAUGAAACAGAUAUACAAAAUCUGGUCUAUCUCCAAGCUGUAGUAAAAGAAACUUUGCGACUAUACCCAGCCACAUUCCUAAAUCCACCAAGAGCCUUCACGAAAGAUUGUACAAUAGCUGGCUACCAUGUCCCCAAAGGCACGUGGGUAAUAGUUAAUACGUGGAAGCUCCACCGUGAUCCAAAGAUAUGGUCAGACCCAUGCGAGUUUAGACCAGAGAGGUUCCUAUCCGCAAACCAUAUGGGCUUAGAUGUAAAGUGGACAAACUUUGACUUGAUUCCUUUUGGAGUCGGCAGAAGGCGUUGCCCUGGAAUUGGUUUGGCAAGUCAAAUAUUACAUAUGGUUUUAGCCACCUUGCUACAAAACUUUGAUUUCUCGAUUCCAAACGAUGCACUUAUUGAUAUGAGUGCGACUCCUGGACUGACAAAUGCCAAGGCAACUUCGCUUGAAGUCCUAGUAUCCUCACGCUUGAAUGCAACUAUAUAAUGUAUACACGUGUGCACAUAUAUAAAUAAAGUCUUGAAAUUGGUGUAAAAUAUCGAUCCUUAUAUUUUGUAUUUCUUUGUUUUGUACUAGUUUUGGAAAUCAUGUUGUAUUUUUUGUAAA